GAAAACGUAGCUUCAAUUGGUUAAAGCGUCGACUUGUCACGUCGAAGAGUGCUGGUUCAAAUCCUGUCGUUUUCG
Thalassiosira oceanica is the source of this 75-nucleotide transfer RNA. It matches the Rfam family "tRNA". From Rfam's summary of the family: Transfer RNA (tRNA) molecules are approximately 80 nucleotides in length. The record is from Rfam. Lineage: Eukaryota; Bacillariophyta; Thalassiosirophyceae; Thalassiosirales; Thalassiosiraceae.